AAAGUGCGAAAUGUAGUGCGAUUUGCAUGAAUCUGUGAGUCAUCUAAUCUUUGAACGCAACUUGCGCCUCUUUGAGGCAUGUUUGUUUGAGUGCCGCAAAACAUCUUUUACACUUUGGUGUGUAAGUGUUGACCUUUGCCAGUGGCUUUGGUUUAAAUGUAGUCAGUAAGUGGUACUAGUUGACUAGACCGAGUGCUAAGCAUUCUUGGUCCAAGCAACCGGGAUCAUCUAAUACAUUUCAUUUUUGGCCUCAAAUCAAGCAAGAUUACCCGCUGAACUUAA
This 282-nucleotide unclassified non-coding RNA is filed under the name uncultured Rozellomycota. RNAcentral's name for it is "uncultured Cryptomycota sequence contains ITS1". The stretch from base 1 to 96 matches the Rfam family "5.8S ribosomal RNA", at positions 50 to 154 of the family's 154-position model. Lineage: Eukaryota; Fungi; Rozellomycota. The record is from RNAcentral.